Long non-coding RNA from Poecilia latipinna (sailfin molly), 4259 nucleotides. RefSeq lists it as uncharacterized. NCBI's taxonomy places the organism in Eukaryota, Metazoa, Chordata, Actinopteri, Cyprinodontiformes, Poeciliidae. The record is from RefSeq and is a predicted model, not a curated record. The transcript has 2 exons.
GAAGGCCUUCUCGCCAUCACCCUAAUCUUUAGAUUCUGGUAGAGACACCCCCAAAAGGUCAAUGUUCUUUGAAUUUGAAGUUAAAUUUGUCAAGGUAAUUAAUUGUUUUGAGUUUAACUUCAAAAGCAAUCUGGCACAAAUGACUGCAUAGAGAUGUAGCCCAAAGGAUGAUGACACAUUGGUGUAAAACAGAGAAUAUGAGACAAGCAGGAUAAAAGAACUUCAGAAAGUGACGUAAAAUGAUGCUGCACAACUGCAAGUAGCACAAACAAACUAAGCUUAAACAUGUCUACAUAAUUUGCUGUUGGUUGUGUAGUGUUUUUUUUUCUCUUUGUCUCUGCGUCCUUAUCUUCAAAAGGACAAAUAGGAGACCCAGAGGACUACAGUUUCAUAAUACAACUGUCUGAGGAAACAAUCAUUUAAUAAAAUUAACACUCCCUCACCAUCAGCUCCUCAUUCCAGUGAGGAUUCUUCAAAGAAGAAAACCAGGUGUGCUCAGCAUCUUUUUUGCUUUAGGGUAAUGAUGGGAAAGAAAAGCUACCCAUUACAGAAGGACACAAACAUAUUCAGGCUUCCUCUUCCCCCCCCCGACUACAUCUGUUCAGACUGAUGCUUAGUUGCUGUCAGCUUAACAAUUACCAGCCAAAUCUUUUCAUUCUAGAGUCUCAUGUUCAAACAAUAUGUAGUACAACUCAACACUAAGGUUGUAGUUACCUACAACAAUGUAUAACAUGCUGAGUUAUCCCACAUAGUGUCAGUCUAGAUCAGAUCACAGCUCUUCAAACUGUAUUCACAGCCAGGACCCAAAGUAACAGUCUUCUCUCCGUAACAGUCUGUCACACUGUUGGAGGGGAAUCUUGGCCUCCUCUCCUUUUCAAAGUUGCUUCAGGUCACUGAGGCUUUCAGCAGGACCUCGAUUCUCUUUCUUCUCAGACUCUCUUUUCUAAAUUGUGCUGCUGUGCUUGGUCUUAUUGCUCAGGCAGACUCUUGACUCCAAAACACGUUUUGCUCCGAGGUGAGAAUAUGUUCAACUCAGCAACUGCACAAUCCAAAGUCCCCGCAGCUCUGAAACAAGCCCAGAUCGUCACACCUCCACCCAUGGGCUUAAGUAGUGGCAUGUUUGCGCAGAUGGUGUGGGUCAUCUCUAAUCCUCUUUCUUUUCUUUUUGUUUACUUGUUAGCAGGGUUUUUGUUUUUUUUUGUUUUAAAUCGUUAUGUGAUCUCAACAUAUGAGGUUUUAAAGAAGUGCUAACUCGAUCUGCUAAGUGGAGCAGGUCUGAUUAGUAAUGGCCGGUUCUCACCUAGCCGGUACAUUUCCAAGACAGUCUGAGGGGUGAGUCUUAGUCUCCCUCCCUAAUUUUGGCCUAAUUUUUGUUCAAAUAUUAAUGACAGUGUAAUUUGUCAUGUUUUGUUCAUUUUAAGAUUCUUUUUAAACUAUUUUUGGCACUUGAUAGGGAUCUGGUGUUUUAUUAUUUAUUUACGCAAUGAAAUGUAAAACCCUAGACAGGAAAGAGUGUAUUUUUAUAGUUUUCCAUGGACACAGAACAUAUUAUCUGUAGAUAAACAUGAUCCCAUUUGACAGGCUCUGAAAAGAACAUAAGAUGACUCAUUUCGCCAUAUCGCUUAUUACUUCCACAUCUCUAUAGAGCACGGUUUAUGGUUUUUGCACCACUGAGCACUGAAUAUACAUGUUCCUCUUUGUUAUGAAGAGUUUAUACCCUGCUACUCUAUUGAAACAUGUAUCUCUUUGAAAUAUUUUAUGUAUUCUUCUCACUGACAUACUCAGUCGCAUCAGGAAAAGGUUGUUUUUUUUCCCCCCCGUCAUCCUGAUGUUUCGUACUAAUGCAUAAGCAUGAGAGCCCUCAAAUGUGUGCUUAUUGGCCGCAUUGUUUCACAUUACUCAAUAAUUCUGCAGAUAUAAACACAGAUCUCAAACAGCAAAAUGUAGACCCUUCCAGUCAAAUGCUAAAGCCCUUAUAGGAUGUUGCAGUCUAGACCAAUUAUAUAACUAUGUGAAGACUUGAUAAUUGAUGUUUGCAGAUGCGCUCCAUCCGAUCUCACAGAGUUGUCAGUCUCUGUGCAGAGACAUACAUCAGCACACCUGCAGCUGUAAUUGCAGUGAAAGGUGGUUCUACUAAGUAUUCACUCAACGGGGUUGAACACAAAUGCAUUCCACACCUUUUCAGAUUUUGAUUCAUAAAAUAUUUCCAAUCGUCUCACUUCCACUUGACAGUGCUGCGCUACUGUGCCUUUCACAUAAAACCUUAAUGAAAUACAUUGAGAUUUAUGGUGGCAACAUGACAAAGCGCAAUAGCAAUAUAAAACACGAAGCGGACAUAGUGCUGUUGUACGCACAGUGUGGUUCCUACUGCUGAUAUGAAAUGUGAAAAGUCUAGUGGCGGAGGGAGAAAGACGUUUCCAUUUAGCGAUGUGCCAUUUCAGUGAAAACUCAGAUAUGCAUGGAUGGCAGAGAGACAUUUUUGAGGCAUUGUGCAACUCCGCACUCUGCAGUCUCCCUCUCCGACUGGCUCUGAGUAAACAAUAAACACCAGGCUGCUCAGCACCUGUAAUCCUCCAACGACUCAAUCAACAUUUGUAAAGCUGCUCACACGAGGCUCACAUCCAAGACUGACUCGACCGGCUGUCGGUUGAGUUCCAGCCUCACCGCCGUCGUCUCCACAUCCUUUUUCUUUUGCGGCAACGCACCGAUGCCGCCCUGCUCUUGGUUCACCGAUCAGAGCAGGGGGGCCGUGCUCCCUCUGGUUUCAGGAGAGUCAGAGCUACGGACCCAUCCCCAACAUUAAAAACAUGCAGCAUCACUACGCAACAACAACCCACCCCUCCCAGGCCUUGUUGCUUAUUCACUCAGAGAUACAUGUGUCUACAAAGCUGACUCCUUCAUCCACUGUCAGCGAAGCUCCCUCGGGAUUUGCCGCCUGCGCCUCGGUCUUUGCCUGUCUGUCUUUUUCACCUUAACCCCUUACUUGCUCUCAUCGUUUUCUCUUUAAAACAAUUUUUUUUUUAAAUAACCUGCCAAACCAGCCCUUAAUUUCCAACUUUGCCCGAUUAGAAAAUCACGGUUUGCAUUUGGGAAUUGUCACUUUUUGUGCCUCAUAUGUUAAUAAGUGAGCAUAAUACAAUAAGCCUGUUCUCCGUUGAGGCUGUUGCCUUGUGCGGGAGGGACACGCCGGCUGUCACACCUCCUCUAAGUCACGCUCCAACAAAGACACCCGAAUUAGACGGUUACGUCAGAUCUUGUGAUUUGAUGAACGCUCGGUUUAGACUUGUGCGAAGAAACUUGUCUUUACCCCCGAAGGCGGGAAAAAAAAAAAGACAAAACUAUCCAGCCAACAGUCUAAUCUGCGGUGCCACCAAGAGACAAAUCCUGGAGCUGCUCCAUUGGCAGUAGCCGGACACUGUGACAGAAUGAAGGAUUUUGCUCAUUUUCUGUUUCAAAACUGUUUGCGCACACAAGAGAAAAGAUCAAACACAUAUUCAGCUAUCCGAAAGCAAUGUGUGCUCAUAGAUGUUAGCAAAGGUCCUGCAUAUCAGAGGAUUUUACUGGCUAACUUUCUGCAAGCACUUUCACCACAAAAUGAAAACCUACAGCGCCUUGCAGAAGAAUUAAUACUUGUUGACUUUGACUGGACCACUUUAAAACAUGAAUACACUUUGAUCUAAACCAGUCAAAUCAAAGCUCUGGGUCUAUUUUUAUGGUCAUAGUCUUGCUGUAAACCUCCACCUCAGUCUUCUAACAGGUUUUUCUGUAGGAUUUUCUGUAGAAUUGUCCUGGAUUUUUCUCUAUCCAGCUUGAGAUCAACCCUUUCCAGCCUCUGCAAUCUUUUGUUUGUAGAUUUACAAACAAAAGCUUCCCCACAUUAUAAUGCUGCGAUCAACGGGUUUCACGACAGGAAUGCAUGUCGCCACAACAACGCCUUUCCAUUAAGCCAUUCACAACCGAUAGGAGCAACGGACUGAGAACUAGUUGGUAUGACAAGCUCAGGAAACUCAGGACCAGGCAUUUGCUAAUUGCUGCUGCUGCUAGUCUGAAGGAGCUGAGUGUGGCAGUUGCUCUGCUGUGCACUACAGCUCCAAGGCAGAGCUGCGUGGAAACAGGUGGUGCUUUGUGAGUCCGAGCGUGUAGGCACCCUUGAUUGGCUACCACCAGAGAUCCAAGGAUGACAAAAGCAUGCAUGGAUGAGUCAAAACAAAACUCUAGGCAUGUUUUUGAUGAAUGAAUGACAACAUGAUACAAAGUUU